RNAcentral lists this transfer RNA (73 nucleotides) under Marmota marmota marmota (Alpine marmot). It matches the Rfam family "tRNA". Rfam says of the family: Transfer RNA (tRNA) molecules are approximately 80 nucleotides in length. Lineage: Eukaryota; Metazoa; Chordata; Mammalia; Rodentia; Sciuridae. RNAcentral also lists the same sequence under 1 other name. The record is from Rfam by way of RNAcentral.
GGGGCUGUAGCUCAGUGGCAGAGUGCUUGCCUAGCAAGCAUGUGUGAGGCACUGGAUUCAAUCCUCAGCACCA